CUACUGAUUUUACCUUCAGUACCUUUUAUGGAGCUUGAUCAAACUUCAUCAAAAGCUGCCCUUUUUCCUCUCUAUGUGUUGCCCAUGAUGUGUAGAACAAUUUUAAUAAAGAAACUUAUAAGAAAAAAUGGCUUGAUCAUGGGUUGAUGAAGCUUGCUUCAUGGACAUCCAUGGAUGAGCUUGGGAGAGAAAAUCAAAUUCGGCAAUGGUGAUGAAGGAGUGAAGAAGAUGAAAUGGUUUAGUGGAAAAUGUUGUCCACUUAUGGUUUUAUACCCCACUAAACAUUUAAAUAAUAGUUAAAAUAAUUAAACUUUCAUAAUUCUA
This 324-nucleotide unclassified non-coding RNA is filed under the name Hevea brasiliensis (rubber tree). The record is from RNAcentral. Lineage: Eukaryota; Viridiplantae; Streptophyta; Magnoliopsida; Malpighiales; Euphorbiaceae.